Molecule: non-coding RNA, 467 nt
Organism: Arachis ipaensis
Lineage: Eukaryota; Viridiplantae; Streptophyta; Magnoliopsida; Fabales; Fabaceae
Source: RefSeq, a predicted model, not a curated record
GAACUCAACAACAACAACAAAAUCUGAAAUAGUUACACUGAAAGACCAAGAUGCAUAUCUUAAAUUGGGACUAGAGUUCGAACCAAAAUAGCAACCGAAUUGGGAACAAGCAAUUAAACUAAAUUGGUGCAAAGAGAUUCGAUCAACAAUCAAAAUGAUUCAAUUCAAACAAAGGUACGAGGACAAAAGAUGAAAUUUGAAGAUAAAGAAAAGGGGAGAAAGCGAACCAGUAAGCGGGGAGAGGAUACGUUCAAGCGGCGCACAACAGGGCAAGUGGGAAAGUUGAGGACAACGACACCGGGGCGGUUGGAAAGCCACGCAACGACACCGGAAUGUCCAUGGUAGAGGGACGAACAGCGAACAUGCCUCUCCACCUUCCAUUCGUGCGCGGGAGCUAUGCGGCAGCUUGAGCAGAUCCGUGUCGAGGAAUGAUGUAGCGGCUGCAGCUGAUGAACGGAAGGUAUUCG